ACUGAACGCUGGCGGCAGGCCUAACACAUGCAAGUCGAACGGUAACAGGAAACAGCUUGCUGUUUCGCUGACGAGUGGCGGACGGGAGAGUAAUGUCUGGGAAACUGCCUGAUGGAGGGGGAUAACUACUGGAAACGGUAGCUAAUACCGCAUAACGUCGCAAGACCAAAGAGGGGGACCUUCGGGCCUCUUGCCAUCGGAUGUGCCCAGAUGGGAUUAGCUGGUUGGUGGGGUAACGGCUCACCAAGGCGACGAUCCCUAGCUGGUCUGAGAGGAUGACCAGCCACACUGGAACUGAGACACGGUCCAGACUCCUACGGGAGGCAGCGGUGGGGAAUAUUGCACAAUGGGCGCAAGCCUGAUGCAGCCAUGCCGCGUGUAUGAAGAAGGCCUUCGGGUUGUAAGUACUUUCAGCGGGGAGGAAGGGAGUAAAGUUAAUACCUUUACUCAUUGACGUUACCCGGAGAAGAAGCCCCGGCUUACUUCGUGCCAGCAGCCGCAGUAA
RNAcentral lists this ribosomal RNA (505 nucleotides) under uncultured bacterium. Its description in RNAcentral is "partial 16S ribosomal RNA". It matches the Rfam family "Bacterial small subunit ribosomal RNA", at positions 30 to 523 of the family's 1533-position model. The record is from RNAcentral.